GAAAAGGUAGAUCUCAUUGACUGCAGUAGAAUGUGAUUUCAACAAAUGUAAACAGCAUUUGGCUAAGAUUGGGAAGAUGAUAAAAGACAUGAUACAUCUUUAGUCCUGUCUCCACAUCCUGAAAUAAAGAAGCAAUCUUACAUCGUGGAUAAGCUCAUUCUUUUACAGAUGAUGGAUACCCAGCUGACCUGCUGCUGCUCAGAAAACUGAUGGUUGAGGCCAAGGAACAGCCCGUGACUUGCAGUUCCCACUAACAGGCCCAUUGGUGAUGACUGGCAAACAAGGCCACUGUGAAAUAAGAAAUGAGUUUGUCU
Molecule: long non-coding RNA, 314 nt
Organism: Athene cunicularia (burrowing owl)
Lineage: Eukaryota; Metazoa; Chordata; Aves; Strigiformes; Strigidae
Exons: 3
Source: RefSeq, a predicted model, not a curated record